RNAcentral lists this non-coding RNA (148 nucleotides) under Chlorocebus sabaeus (green monkey). Lineage: Eukaryota; Metazoa; Chordata; Mammalia; Primates; Cercopithecidae. The record is from Rfam by way of RNAcentral.
GCUGGGCAUGGUGGCGUGUGCCUGUAAUCCCAGCUACUGGGGAGGCUGAGGCAGGAGAAUUGCUUGAACCCAGGAGGUGGAGGUUGCAGUGAGCUGAGAUCAUAUCACUGCACUCCAGCCUGGGCUACAGAGCAAGACUCCAUCUCAA